AGUCGAGCGCGAUUUAUUGGAACGAAACUUCGGUCUAGAGAAAAUAAUGAAAGCGGCGGACGGGUGAGUAACGCGUAGGCAACCUGCCCCAUACAGAGGGAUAGCCUCGGGAAACCGGGAUUAAAACCUCAUAACGCGAACAUGUCACAUGGCUAGUUCGCCAAAGAUUUAUCGGUAUGGGAUGGGCCUGCGUCUGAUUAGUUAGUUGGUGAGGUAACGGCUCACCAAGGCGACGAUCAGUAGCCGACCUGAGAGGGUAGACGGCCACAUUGGAACUGAGACACGGUCCAAACUCCUACGGGAGGCAGCAGUGGGGAAUAUUGCACAAUGGGCGCAAGCCUGAUGCAGCAACGCCGCGUGAGCGAUGAAGGCCUUUGGGUCGUAAAGCUCUGUCCUAAGGGAAGAAAAAAAUGACGGUACCUUAGGAGGAAGCCCCGGCUAACUACGUGCCAGCAGCCGCGGUAAUACGUAGGGGGCAAGCGUUAUCCGGAAUUAUUGGGCGUAAAGAGUGCGUAGGUGGUUAUUUAAGCGCAGGGUGAAAGGCUACAGCUUAACUGUGGUAAGCCUUGCGAACUGGAUGACUUGAGUGCAGGAGAGGAAAGCGGAAUUCCUAGUGUAGCGGUGAAAUGCGUAGAUAUUAGGAGGAACACCAGUGGCGAAGGCGGCUUUCUGGACUGUAACUGACACUGAGGCACGAAAGCGUGGGGAGCAAACAGGAUUAGAUACCCUGGUAGUCCACGCCGUANACGAUGAGCACUAGGUGUCGGGGUCGCAAGGCCUCGGUGCCGCAGCUAACGCAUUAAGUGCUCCGCCUGGGGAGUACGCACGCAAGUG
RNAcentral lists this ribosomal RNA (834 nucleotides) under uncultured bacterium. RNAcentral's name for it is "SSU rRNA". It matches the Rfam family "Bacterial small subunit ribosomal RNA", at positions 60 to 894 of the family's 1533-position model. The record is from RNAcentral.